Molecule: long non-coding RNA, 875 nt
Filed under: Homo sapiens (human)
Lineage: Eukaryota; Metazoa; Chordata; Mammalia; Primates; Hominidae
Description: HSALNT0397876
Source: RNAcentral
CGACAGAGCGAGACUCCGUCUCAAAAUAAAAAUAAAAAAAAAAUAAAGGCGGGGUGGUGGUGGUGACAAGCCCCUAUUACGGCCUUAGUGCGGGAUUCCCCUUGGGGCGGGAGACGUCGUCCUUCCGGGUGCGGGUGCGGACUGCAAGUCCUAUCGGGGACCGCGACACCGGACUGCAUCCGCCAGCGUCCAGGGCGUAGCGCCCCCCAGGCGCUGCCUUCGUCCAUCUCUACGGGGAGUGGCGGCCAGAAGACUGGGUUUUCCCCGUGCAGCUGUGCCCCACGUUGGGGAAACUGACUUUUCAGAGUAAAAGCCAAGACCUUAAAAUGGUUCCAAAGUCCCAACAUAAUCUGGCCCCGUUACUCCAGGAACACUGGCCUUUUUGCUGUUUUCCAAACCUGCCAGAUGGCCUCACCCCUUAGUGCCAUCCAGUGAUGAAGUCACCAGGUGGAGGUGGUGCUGGCUAAAACUCGAAGAUUAUUCCUUUACUCUGAGAAUCUCCUCAACAUCCACCAUUCCUGCUAUCUGGAACUCAAGUCAUCAGCAUACAGAACUACAAUCAGAAAAAGAGUCAGCCCCACUGUAGGCCCCCAAAUACUAAGGGACAAAAUGUUGCAUCUUCUGAUUCUAAAGCCCAUUCUCUUUCCACUAUAUCAAUAACCCUCAAAUUCAUGCCAAAUGUACAUUAGUUUUUGUGUCUGGUACUUUCCUUCUUAGAGUGCUUGGGGAGGAUGGUGGGAAGGAAUGAAGAGGACAAGGACAGACUCGUCUGCCUCAAUACAUCCACAUAGUGGACACCACUGUCUUUUGGGAAGCUUCCCCCUCUCUCAGGAGUACGUGAAUGGAGUCUCUUUCUGUUGCCCAGGCUGGAAUGC